UACGUAGGGGGCAAGCGUUGUUCGGAUUUACUGGGCGUAAAGGGCGCGUAGGCGGCGCAACAAGUCACUUGUGAAAUCUCCGGGCUUAACCCGGAGCGGCCAAGUGAUACUGUCGUGCUAGAGUGCGGAAGGGGCUACUGGAAUUCUCGGUGUAGCGGUGAAAUGCGUAGAUAUCGAGAGGAACACCUGCGGCGAAGGCGGGUAGCUGGGCCGACACUGACGCUGAAGCGCGAAAGCCAGGGGAGCGAACGGG
RNAcentral lists this ribosomal RNA (253 nucleotides) under uncultured bacterium. Its description in RNAcentral is "partial 16S ribosomal RNA". It matches the Rfam family "Bacterial small subunit ribosomal RNA", at positions 524 to 776 of the family's 1533-position model. The record is from RNAcentral.